ACAGUGCAAGUCGAACGGCAGCGGACCUUCGGGUGCCGGCGAGUGGCGAACGGGUGAGUAAUAGUAUCGGAACGUACCUUUCAGUGGGGGAUAACGUAGCGAAAGUUACGCUAAUACCGCAUAUUCUGUGAGCAGGAAAGCAGGGGAUCGCAAGACCUUGCGCUGAUUGAGCGGCCGAUAUCAGAUUAGCUAGUUGGUGAGGUAAAGGCUCACCAAGGCGACGAUCUGUANCGGGUCUGAGAGGAUGAUCCGCCACACUGGAACUGAGACACGGUCCAGACUCCUACGGGAGGCAGCAGUGGGGAAUUUUGGACAAUGGGCGCAAGCCUGAUCCAGCCAUGCCGCGUGAGUGAAGAAGGCCUUCGGGUUGUAAAGCUCUUUCGGCCGGGAAGAAAUCGCACGGGUUAAUACCCUGUGUGGAUGACGGUACCGGAAUAAGAAGCACCGGCUAACUACGUG
This 459-nucleotide ribosomal RNA is filed under the name uncultured bacterium. RNAcentral's name for it is "bacterial SSU rRNA". It matches the Rfam family "Bacterial small subunit ribosomal RNA", at positions 53 to 507 of the family's 1533-position model. The record is from RNAcentral.